This is a long non-coding RNA of Fukomys damarensis (Damara mole-rat), 206 nucleotides long. RefSeq lists it as uncharacterized. The record is from RefSeq and is a predicted model, not a curated record. The transcript is spliced from 3 exons. Lineage: Eukaryota; Metazoa; Chordata; Mammalia; Rodentia; Bathyergidae.
GGGAGAGGACCAUCCAUCUCCACCCACUGCCGUGUGACUUGCUGUUCAUCCUUGAUCAAUCUUUUCAAAAUAUUCACUUCCCUUCUCAAGAACUACACUGCCUCUCCACUGUCCAACAGAUUAAAUCCUGCUCAUUCUGCUCUAUCAGCUCCUCAAGCCUACAUAGCAGACGCAGCCAGUCCUUGAGUGGGACUUCUAAGAAAGAC